RNAcentral lists this ribosomal RNA (253 nucleotides) under uncultured bacterium. RNAcentral describes it as "partial 16S ribosomal RNA". It matches the Rfam family "Bacterial small subunit ribosomal RNA", at positions 524 to 776 of the family's 1533-position model. The record is from RNAcentral. RNAcentral also lists the same sequence under 1 other name.
UACAGAGGUCCCGAGCGUUGUUCGGAUUCAUUGGGCGUAAAGGGUGCGUAGGCGGCGGGGUAAGUUUGAUGUGAAAUCCCGGGGCUCAACCCUGGAAUUGCAUUGAAUACUACCUUGCUAGAGUACCGGAGAGGAAACUGGAAUUUACGGUGUAGCAGUGAAAUGCGUAGAGAUCGUAAGGAAGACCAGUGGCGAAGGCGAGUUUCUGGACGGUAACUGACGCUGAGGCACGAAGGCCAGGGGAGCAAACGGG